CAAACCUUGCGACGCGGCCUCCCUUCGCCGCUGGCGACAGAUAUCUUUCUGAGACACCAAAGACCACUCUGCGAGCAGGGCAGGCCGAGUGCCCUGCGCUCCGAGUCGUGCUCCGCGCGCCUGGGCUGCUGCGAGGUUCCCAAGGCAACGGCAAGCCGCUCGCCGCGUCUCCCGAGUGACGAGGCGUCAGCGAAGACCUGGAGGCCGGAUCGAAGAACCGGAGCCACGGAGCGAACGCUGGAUCUAGAAGUCCCCCACCAAGUGAGGAUGUCUGCAGAGUCCAGGACGUGGCUCCCGCCCAGAACCCGAUGGCUGGACAAUGGUAAAUUCUCCCCCAGUCUUCUGUCAUCUCAACAGUGGGACUAUUAUCCUAUGCCACGACAGGAUGUCAUACAGAUGAGGACACUGAGGCACAGAGAGAGUGACAUCGAGUCAGGACUGAUCGCACAGGAACAGAGGGUCUGGAUCUGCAAAUGCAUCUGUCUCCAUUCCCCCGCACCCCACAUUUCCAGGGCCCCCGGCUAGGUGAAGACACCACAGGUCAUUCGCCUCACCUGCAGCCUCCCAAUUUCCACGGAAAGAUGUGAUGGUGACCAUGCACUUAUGUGACCCAGGAUUCAGAUGGCUGAAGUCCGUCCAUCCGUUCACACCGAAGAUGCACGUGAAGGAACGCCAGUCCUGGCUGCCUGCCUGUGAGGACACCGCAGAGUAAUGAGGGA
This 719-nucleotide long non-coding RNA is filed under the name Ailuropoda melanoleuca (giant panda). Its description in RNAcentral is "lncRNA (ENSAMEG00000027883.1)". Lineage: Eukaryota; Metazoa; Chordata; Mammalia; Carnivora; Ursidae. The record is from RNAcentral.